RNA transcript from Eriocheir sinensis (Chinese mitten crab), 1123 nucleotides. RefSeq lists it as uncharacterized. The record is from RefSeq and is a predicted model, not a curated record. Lineage: Eukaryota; Metazoa; Arthropoda; Malacostraca; Decapoda; Varunidae. The transcript is spliced from 6 exons.
ACACACACACACACACACACACACACACACACACACACACACACACACACACACACACACACACACACACACACACACACUCGCAGGAGCUCAUACACAGCGUAAAGGAAGGAGACGAGGUCAGGGCCACGGUGCUCCUCGCCGGGGGAGGAGACCCCAAGGUGACCGUCCCCGUUGCCACAGGUGGGUCGUGGUGCCUGGUGGCCCUGGCUGCCCAUCAUGGCCACGCCCACCUCCUGCCCUGCCUGCUGGGGGCGGGGCUCAGCGUGGAGGGCCGGGGCAGCGACGACCGAACACCACUGAUGCUGGCUGCCUGGCAGGGCCACACGAGAACGGUGCAGGACCUGCUGACCCUUGGCGCAGACCCGCUGGCUGCAGAUAAAGCAGAGCUGUGAAGUAUGGAGGAAAUCAAGAAUGCAGUUCAGAGUAUUCUUCCCAAUCUUCUUCCACAAGUACUGGAGGAAGCGUGUGAACACCUUAUAGGUUUAGGUGUUGAAACAGAAGAUGACCUAAAGUAUGUUAAGUCAUCUGAUCUUCCGAUGCUGAAGGACAUUCAAGUGCGGAAACUUAUUCAUAACUGGCAACAAGCCAACUGCAGCUAGACCUGAAUUGGAAAAGGACCUUCCCAAGACACCAUGUUUAAUAGGCUUUGGGGCAUCAAGGUUGACGGCAACCAGAUAUAUGUUGUCAAUUGAUGGUGUUGUUGUCACUGACCAUAUCGCAACAUUUACUACUGGGCUGGCUAUGCUGCUGGCCUCCUACUACAACUUCAAUAUAAUGUACCCUGUUGAUUCUGCAUCGACACUGGAGUUCAUUCAAAGAUGCUUUGUUGGCAUCAAUCCAGAGCGGGGCAGCAAGAUUGAAGUAAAGAAGCACUGCAAGAGACGCACCCAAGUCCAUCCCAGAGUUCUGUCCCUGAUUAAUGCUAUUGCUGAUGUAGAGUGGAGGUGCUAAAUCCACAAGGUGCUGUCAGCCAGUGGAGGGGAAGGAACUGGAAGGUGAUAGAAACUGAGCGCUACUCGACUGUAUCAAAGUACUCUCCAUGCCUGAUGAUGCACAGUGUAAUGAAAUGUCAACAAGUAAGUUUUUUUUUCUGGAAUGGUCCUUUGUAAUGAAACAUACA